AAUCCAUAGGUUAAUGAGGCGAACCGGGGGAACUGAAACAUCUAAGUACCCCGAGGAAAAGAAAUCAACCGAGAUUCCCCCAGUAGCGGCGAGCGAACGGGGAGGAGCCCAGAGCCUGAAUCAGCAUGUGUGUUAGUGGAAGCGUCUGGAAAGGCGCGCGAUACAGGGUGACAGCCCCGUACACAAAAGCGCAUGUGCUGUGAGCUCGAUGAGUAGGGCGGGACACGUGGUAUCCUGUCUGAAUAUGGGGGGACCAUCCUCCAAGGCUAAAUACUCCUGACUGACCGAUAGUGAACCAGUACCGUGAGGGAAAGGCGAAAAGAACCCCGGCGAGGGGAGUGAAAAAGAACCUGAAACCGUGUACGUACAAGCAGUGGGAGCCCCACCACUAAGCCAGUGGUGAACUCCACAUACGCAUCCUUUGCUGAGGAUACGGUUAACGGAGCGAAAGCGACGUUCAACCGCAAAAGAAGCAGAGGGGGCUUAGUGGUGGGGUGACUGCGUACCUUUUGUAUAAUGGGUCAGCGACUUAUAUUCUGUAGCAAGGUUAACCGAAUAGGGGAGCCGGAGGGAAACCGAGUCUUAAUUGGGCGUUAAGUUGCAGGGUAUAGACCCGAAACCCGGUGAUCUAGCCAUGGGCAGGUUGAAGGUUGGGUAACACUAACUGGAGGACCGAACCGACUAAUGUUGAAAAAUUAGCGGAUGACCUGUGGCUGGGGGUGAAAGGCCAAUCAAACCGGGAGAUAGCUGGUUCUCCCCGAAAGCUAUUUAGGUAGCGCCUCGUGAAUUCAUCUCCGGGGGUAGAGCACUGUUUCGGCUAGGGGGCCAUCCCGGCUUACCAACCCGAUGCAAACUGCGAAUACCGGAGAAUGUUAUCACGGGAGACACACGGCGGGUGCUAACGUCCGUCGUGAAGAGGGAAACAACCCAGACCGCCAGCUAAGGUCCCAAAGUCAUGGUUAAGUGGGAAACGAUGUGGGAAGGCCCAGACAGCCAGGAUGUUGGCUUAGAAGCAGCCAUCAUUUAAAGAAAGCGUAAUAGCUCACUGGUCGAGUCGGCCUGCGCGGAAGAUGUAACGGGGCUAAACCAUGCACCGAAGCUGCGGCAGCGACGCUUAUGCGUUGUUGGGUAGGGGAGCGUUCUGUAAGCCUGUGAAGGUGUGUCGUGAGGCAUGCUGGAGGUAUCAGAAGUGCGAAUGCUGACAUAAGUAACGAUAAAGCGGGUGAAAAGCCCGCUCGCCGGAAGACCAAGGGUUCCUGUCCAACGUUAAUCGGGGCAGGGUGAGUCGACCCCUAAGGCGAGGCCGAAAGGCGUAGUCGAUGGGAAACGGGUUAAUAUUCCCGUACUUGGUGUUACUGCGAAGGGGGGACGGAGAAGGCUAUGUUGGCCGGGCGACGGUUGUCCCGGUUUAAGCGUGUAGGUGUGUGUUCCAGGUAAAUCCGGUUCACUUUAACACUGAGGCGUGAUGACGAGGCACUACGGUGCUGAAGUAACAAAUGCCCUGCUUCCAGGAAAAGCCUCUAAGCAUCAGGUAACAUCAAAUCGUACCCCAAACCGACACAGGUGGUCAGGUAGAGAAUACCAAGGCGCUUGAGAGAACUCGGGUGAAGGAACUAGGCAAAAUGGUGCCGUAACUUCGGGAGAAGGCACGCUGACACGUAGGUGAAGUGAUUUACUCAUGGAGCUGAAGUCAGUCGAAGAUACCAGCUGGCUGCAACUGUUUAUUAAAAACACAGCACUGUGCAAACACGAAAGUGGACGUAUACGGUGUGACGCCUGCCCGGUGCCGGAAGGUUAAUUGAUGGGGUCAGCGCAAGCGAAGCUCCUGAUCGAAGCCCCGGUAAACGGCGGCCGUAACUAUAACGGUCCUAAGGUAGCGAAAUUCCUUGUCGGGUAAGUUCCGACCUGCACGAAUGGCGUAAUGAUGGCCAGGCUGUCUCCACCCGAGACUCAGUGAAAUUGAACUCGCUGUGAAGAUGCAGUGUACCCGCGGCAAGACGGAAAGACCCCGUGAACCUUUACUAUAGCUUGACACUGAACAUUGAGCCUUGAUGUGUAG
This 2059-nucleotide ribosomal RNA is filed under the name Salmonella enterica subsp. enterica serovar Dublin. RNAcentral's name for it is "partial 23S ribosomal RNA". It matches the Rfam family "Bacterial large subunit ribosomal RNA", at positions 161 to 2141 of the family's 2925-position model. The record is from RNAcentral. Lineage: Bacteria; Pseudomonadati; Pseudomonadota; Gammaproteobacteria; Enterobacterales; Enterobacteriaceae.